Molecule: ribosomal RNA, 468 nt
Filed under: uncultured bacterium
Lineage: Bacteria
Description: partial 16S ribosomal RNA
Rfam family: Bacterial small subunit ribosomal RNA
Source: RNAcentral
GACGAACGCUGGCGGCGUGCUUAACACAUGCAAGUCGAGCGGAAAGGUCCUGCUUUUGUUGGUUGCACGUGUGGCGAAGGGGGGAGUAACACGCGAGGAACCUGUCCUUGACUUUGUGAUAACUUCUGGAAACAGGGGCUAAUACCGGAGAUGAUCUCCUGCUGCAUAGGGGGGGUUGGAGAGUGUCGGCGGUGGUGGAUGGACUCGCGGGUUAUGAGCUGGUUUGUGGGGUAGUGGCUUACCAAGGCUUUGACGGGUAGCCGGCAUGAGAGGGUGACCGGCGACCUUGGGACUGCGAUAGGGACCAGUAUGCUACGGGACGCAGCAGGGGGGAGUCUUGCAGAAUGAGGGGAAGCGUGAUGCGAAAACGCCGCGUGCGGAAUGACCGCCUUCGGGUUGUAAACAAAUUUGGAAUGAAACGAGGAGUGCGUGACGGUAAUGGGUCAGGAAGCACCGGCUAACUACGUG